This is an RNA transcript of Erinaceus europaeus (western European hedgehog), 1785 nucleotides long. It is a transcript of the gene named metalloprotease TIKI2, with no coding region annotated. The transcript is spliced from 4 exons. The record is from RefSeq and is a predicted model, not a curated record. Lineage: Eukaryota; Metazoa; Chordata; Mammalia; Eulipotyphla; Erinaceidae.
AGGAGGAGGAGGCGCGGGCCAGGGAGGAAAGCAAAAAGUUGCACUGGGGAGUUUGGAAAGUUGGGGAGUGGCGGCUGCGGGCUUCGCCUCCCUCUGCGCGUGUGUGAGGGAGUGAGCCAGGCGGCCGAGAGGAGCCAGAGCGCUUGCCAUGCACAUCAGACCCCGCCUGGCCGCGCCCGGCCGCGGAGCUCGCUCCGACUUCCCGCAGCCCGGCCCGGCCCGGCGCCCCGGCCUCCCGCCCCCAGCGCCUGGUCCUCCCCUCCCCCCGCCGGGCGGCCCCAGCCCCCCGCCCGGCCCGUCUCCGCGCCGCUCUCCCGCCCUCCUCCCUCCCUCCCUCCCGGCCGCGGAGCAGCAUGGCGGAGCCCGGGCAGCGGCCGCGCGGCCGCCCGCCGCCCCAGUGAGCCCGGCUCCGGGCCAGCCGGGCGCCCAGCCCUGACCCCGCCCGCGCCCCGCCGCGCCCGCCGCCGCACUUGUCCCACCGCGCGCCCCUCGGAGCGCCGCGCACCCCGGGGACCUCUGCGCGCCCGGCUCCCCAGCAUAACCCGGGACCCCACGCGCCCCGCGCCGCGCCGCGGCCACAGUCCCCCCCAUCCCGCUCCCCACGGCCCCCGCGCUCCCUCACAACCUCAGGGUUCGGCCAAGCGGGCUGCGAGGCCAGCCGAAGGAGUCCCGCCCCAGAGGAUCCCCCUCUCACUACCGACGGGGCCCCGCCCCCCGAGGGACCCCGAAGUCCGGCAGGGACAUCCAGCCACGCCCCAGAGGGCUCCCAGCAUCCCGCGGCUGGAGCCCCGAGCACCAGAGGAAGCUCCGUGCCCUACUGGGGGCUCCCCGCCCCGCUGAGGGGGCGCUGCCCAGGAGGGUCCCCCGCGCCGCGCGGGUCCGGGCAGGAUGCACGCCGCCCUGGCGGGGCCGCUGCUCGCCGCCCUCUUCGCCACCGCCCGCGCUCGCCCGCAGCCCCCGGACGGAGGACAGUGCCGGCUGCCCGGAUCGCAGAGGGAACUGAACUCCUUUCUGUGGACUAUCCGGCGUGACCCCCCAGCCUACCUGUUUGGCACCAUCCAUGUUCCAUACACCCGAGUUUGGGACUUCAUUCCAGACAACUCCAAGGCAGCCUUUCAGGCCAGUGCCCGUGUCUACUUUGAGCUGGACCUGACAGACCCCUACACUAUCUCAGCGCUGGCCAGCUGCCAGCUGCUGCCCCAUGGGGAGAACCUACAGGAUGUGCUACCCCAGGACCUCUACUGGCGCCUCAAGCGCCACCUGGACUAUGUGAAACUUAUGAUGCCCUCGUGGAUGACACCUGCCCAGCGGGGCAAGGGACUCUAUGCUGACUACCUGUUCAAUGCCAUCGCCGGCAACUGGGAGCGGAAGAGGCCGGUGUGGGUGAUGCUCAUGGUGAACUCGCUCACGGAGACUGACGUGCGCUCCCGGGGAGUGCCCGUGCUGGACCUCUACUUGGCCCAGCAGGCUGAGAAGAUGAAGAAGAGCACUGGGGCCGUGGAGCGGGUGGAGGAGCAGUGCCACCCGCUCAAUGGACUCAACUUCUCACAGAAAUGUCACAUUAUUCUUUGCUAAGGGGAGGCAGAAAGCUUGCAUUUUGGAUGGGAAGAGCCAUUGAGAAAGCUUCCUCCACCUCAGCACAGCUUGGAAGUUUUCCCAGAGACCAGGAGAUAGUUUGACUGGUAGAGGACAUAUCUUUCUUUGUGUAAAUUCCUGCAGUUAAGCCGGCCCUAUACUGUGGACAGCACCAGAGAAGCUCUAUGGAUGGUGGAACAUUGUGAUGGU